GGCUUCGUAGCUCAGCUGGUAGAGCGCUUGAGGCAUGCUGUGUCUGUCGCUGGUUCGAAUCCAGCUGAAGCCC
This 73-nucleotide transfer RNA is filed under the name Paragonimus westermani. RNAcentral describes it as "tRNA-Ser". It matches the Rfam family "tRNA". From Rfam's summary of the family: Transfer RNA (tRNA) molecules are approximately 80 nucleotides in length. Their secondary structure includes four short double-helical elements and three loops (D, anti-codon, and T loops). Lineage: Eukaryota; Metazoa; Platyhelminthes; Trematoda; Plagiorchiida; Troglotrematidae. The record is from RNAcentral.